Non-coding RNA from Parelaphostrongylus tenuis, 72 nucleotides. Lineage: Eukaryota; Metazoa; Nematoda; Chromadorea; Rhabditida; Metastrongylidae. The record is from the annotation of a GenBank genome assembly.
GCAUCGGUGACGCAACGGUCAGCAUACGCUCCCGAAGAGAGUGAGUUCUGGGUUCGAUUCCCGGCUGACGCA